AACGCGAAGAACCUUACCUGGGUUUGACAUACAGGUGACAGCUUCAGAAAUGAAGCCUUCCCGCAAGGGACGCCUGAACAGGUGCUGCAUGGCUGUCGUCAGCUCGUGCCGUGAGGUGUUGGGUUAAGUCCCGCAACGAGCGCAACCCUUGUCGUUAGUUGCCAACACGUGAAGGUGGGCACUCUAACGAGACUGCCUAGGUUAACUAGGAGGAAGGUGAGGAUGACGUCAAGUCCGCAUGGCCCUUAUGCCCAGGGCUACACACGUGCUACAAUGGUCGGUACAGAAGGCAGCAAUAUCGCGAGGUGGAGCAAAUCCCGAAAGCCGGCCCCAGUUCAGAUUGUAGUCUGCAACUCGACUACAUGAAGAUGGAAUUGCUAGUAAUGGCGAGUCAGCAACAUCGCCGUGAAUACGUUCCCGGGCCUUGUACACACCGACGCAC
Molecule: ribosomal RNA, 442 nt
Filed under: uncultured bacterium
Lineage: Bacteria
Description: bacterial SSU rRNA
Rfam family: Bacterial small subunit ribosomal RNA
Source: RNAcentral